UAGUCCACGCCGUAAACGAUGAGUGCUAAGUGUUGGAGGGUUUCCGCCCUUCAGUGCUGCAGCUAACGCAUUAAGCACUCCGCCUGGGGAGUACGACCGCAAGGUUGAAACUCAAAGGAAUUGGCGGGGGCCCGCACAAGCGGUGGAGCAUGUGGUUUAAUUCGAAGCAACGCGAAGAACCUUACCAGGUCUUGACAUCCUCUGACAACCCUAGAGAUAGGGCUUUCCCCUCGGGGACAGAGUGACAGGUGGUGCAUGGUUGUCGUCAGCUCGUGUCGUGAGAUGUUGGGUUAAGUCCCGCAACGAGCGCAACCCUUGUCGUUAGUUGCCAUCAUUCAGUUGGGCACUCUAGCGAGACUGCCGGUGACAAACCGGAGGAAGGUGGGGAUGACGUCAAAUCAUCAUGCCCCUUAUGACCUGGGCUACACACGUGCUACAAUGGACGGUACAACGAGCAGCGAACUCGCGAGGGCAAGCGAAUCUCUUAAAGCCGUUCUCAGUUCGGAUUG
This 509-nucleotide ribosomal RNA is filed under the name uncultured bacterium. RNAcentral's name for it is "bacterial SSU rRNA". It matches the Rfam family "Bacterial small subunit ribosomal RNA", at positions 791 to 1300 of the family's 1533-position model. The record is from RNAcentral.